GACAGAGGCCUCGAGCGUUAGGCGGAAUCACUGGGCUUAAAGCGUGUGUAGGCGGAAGCGUAAGUACCUUGUGAAAUCCCUCGGCUCAACCGAGGAACUGCACUCGAUACUGGUCGGCUAGAGUCCGGGAGGGGAUGGUGGAAUUCCCAGUGUAGCGGUGAAAUGCGUAGAUAUUGGGAAGAACACCGGUGGCGAAGGCGGCCAUCUGGACCGGAACUGACGCUGAGGCGCGAAAGCCAGGGGAGCGAAUGGG
Molecule: ribosomal RNA, 253 nt
Filed under: uncultured bacterium
Lineage: Bacteria
Description: partial 16S ribosomal RNA
Rfam family: Bacterial small subunit ribosomal RNA
Source: RNAcentral